This 492-nucleotide ribosomal RNA is filed under the name uncultured bacterium. RNAcentral describes it as "partial 16S ribosomal RNA". It matches the Rfam family "Bacterial small subunit ribosomal RNA", at positions 29 to 507 of the family's 1533-position model. The record is from RNAcentral.
AGUGAACGCUGGCGGUAGGCCUAACACAUGCAAGUCGAACGGCCGCACAGUAAGAGCUCGCUCUUACGGGUGGCGAGUGGCGGAUGGGUGAGGAAUACAUCGGAAUCUACUUUUUCGUGGGGGAUAACGUAGGGAAACUUACGCUAAUACCGCAUACGACCUACGGGUGAAAGCAGGGGAUCUUCGGACCUUGCGCGAUUGAAUGAGCCGAUGUCGGAUUAGCUAGUUGGCGGGGUAAAGGCCCACCAAGGCGACGAUCCGUAGCUGGUCUGAGAGGAUGAUCGGCCACACUGGAACUGAGACACGGUCCAGACUCCUACGGGAGGCAGCAGUGGGGAAUAUUGGACAAUGGGCGCAAGCCUGAUCCAGCCAUACCGCGUGAGUGAAGAAGGCCUUCGGGUUGUAAAGCCCUUUUGUUAGGAAAGAAAAGCAGCAGGUUAAUACCCCGCUGUUCUGACGGUACCCAAAGAAUAAGCACCGGCUAACUUCGUG